RNAcentral lists this ribosomal RNA (492 nucleotides) under uncultured bacterium. RNAcentral's name for it is "partial 16S ribosomal RNA". It matches the Rfam family "Bacterial small subunit ribosomal RNA", at positions 29 to 507 of the family's 1533-position model. The record is from RNAcentral.
AGUGAACGCUGGCGGUAGGCCUAACACAUGCAAGUCGAACGGCAGCACAGUAAGAUCUUGCUCUUACGGGUGGCGAGUGGCGGACGGGUGAGGAAUACAUCGGAAUCUACUUUUUCGUGGGGGAUAACGUAGGGAAACUUACGCUAAUACCGCAUACGACCUACGGGUGAAAGCAGGGGAUCUUCGGACCUUGCGCGAUUGAAUGAGCCGAUGUCGGAUUAGCUAGUUGGCGGGGUAAAGGCCCACCAAGGCGACGAUCCGUAGCUGGUCUGAGAGGAUGAUCAGCCACACUGGAACUGAGACACGGUCCAGACUCCUACGGGAGGCAGCAGUGGGGAAUAUUGGACAAUGGGCGCAAGCCUGAUCCAGCCAUACCGCGUGGGUGAAGAAGGCCUUCGGGUUGUAAAGCCCCUUUGUUGGGAAAGAAAAGCAGCAGGUUAAUACCCCGCUGUUCUGACGGUACCCAAAGAAUAAGCACCGGCUAACUUCGUG